GAUUAACGCUGGCGGCGUGCAUAACACAUGCAAGUCGAACGAUGAAACUCAUUAGAUUUCUUCGGAAUGAAAAUGAAUGGAUUAGUGGCGAACGGGUGAGUAACGCGUGAGUAACCUGCCUUACACAAGGGGAUAGCCUCUGGAAACGGAGAAUAAUACCCUAUGAAACCAGACAAUCGCAUGAUAAUCUGGUCAAAAUGUUUAGUGGUGUAAGAUGGACUUGCGUCUGAUUAGCUAGUUGGUGAGAUAAAAGCUCACCAAGGCAACGAUCAGUAGCCGGCUUGAGAGAGUGUACGGCCACAUUGGGACUGAGACACGGCCCAGACUCCUACGGGAGGCAGCAGUGGGGAAUUGUGCACAAUGGGGGAAACCCUGAUGCAGCGACGCCGCGUGAUUUAGAAGGCCUUCGGGUUGUAAAAAUCUUUUGUAUAGGAAGAAAAUGACAGUACUAUACGAAUAAGGUCCGGCUAAUUACGUG
RNAcentral lists this ribosomal RNA (478 nucleotides) under uncultured bacterium. Its description in RNAcentral is "partial 16S ribosomal RNA". It matches the Rfam family "Bacterial small subunit ribosomal RNA", at positions 28 to 507 of the family's 1533-position model. The record is from RNAcentral.